GAUGAACGCUAGCUACAGGCUUAACACAUGCAAGUCGAGGGGCAGCAUGGUCUUAGCUUGCUAAGGCCGAUGGCGACCGGCGCACGGGUGAGUAACACGUAUCCAACCUGCCGUCUACUCUUGGACAGCCUUCUGAAAGGAAGAUUAAUACAAGAUGGCAUCAUGAGUCCGCAUGUUCACAUGAUUAAAGGUAUUCCGGUAGACGAUGGGGAUGCGUUCCAUUAGAUAGUAGGCGGGGUAACGGCCCACCUAGUCUUCGAUGGAUAGGGGUUCUGAGAGGAAGGUCCCCCACAUUGGAACUGAGACACGGUCCAAACUCCUACGGGAGGCAGCAGUGAGGAAUAUUGGUCAAUGGGCGCAGGCCUGAACCAGCCAAGUAGCGUGAAGGAGGACUGCCCUAUGGGUGGUAAACUUCUUUUAUAAAGGAAUAAAGUCGGGUAUGUAUACCCGUUUGCAUGUACUUUAUGAAUAAGGAUCGGCUAACUCCGUG
Molecule: ribosomal RNA, 490 nt
Filed under: uncultured bacterium
Lineage: Bacteria
Description: partial 16S ribosomal RNA
Rfam family: Bacterial small subunit ribosomal RNA
Source: RNAcentral